Molecule: ribosomal RNA, 37 nt
Filed under: Candidatus Mycoplasma haematobovis
Lineage: Bacteria; Bacillati; Mycoplasmatota; Mollicutes; Mycoplasmatales; Mycoplasmataceae
Description: Candidatus Mycoplasma haemobos partial 16S ribosomal RNA
Source: RNAcentral
GAGAGGAGUGGGCAUUUAAAAAUGUAUUCAUUUGCAU